UUCGCCAGUGCUGUGAGGGAC
This 21-nucleotide unclassified non-coding RNA is filed under the name Mus musculus (house mouse). RNAcentral's name for it is "oocyte_clustered_small_RNA6555". Lineage: Eukaryota; Metazoa; Chordata; Mammalia; Rodentia; Muridae. The record is from RNAcentral.